AUUGAACGCUGGCGGCGUGCUUAACACAUGCAAGUCGUGCGGUAACAGGCGUAGCAAUACGUGCUGACGAGCGGCGAACGGGUGCGUAAUACAUGGGAAUCUGCCCUUUAGUGGGGAAUAACCCGGCGAAAGCCGGGCUAAUGCCGCAUAAGAUCUUCGGAUGAAAGCGGGGGAUCGUAAGACCUCGCGCUGAUGGAUGAGCCCAUGUCGGAUUAGCAGUUGGUGAGGUAAAGGCUCACCAAGGCGACGAUCCGUAGCUGGUCUGAGAGGACGGCCAGCCACACUGGGACUGAGACACGGCCCAGACUCCUACGGGAGCAGCAGUGGGGAAUAUUGGACAAUGGGGGAAACCCUGAUCCAGCGACGCCGCGUGUGUGAAGAAGGCCUGCGGGUUGUAAAGCAC
Molecule: ribosomal RNA, 403 nt
Filed under: uncultured bacterium
Lineage: Bacteria
Description: bacterial SSU rRNA
Rfam family: Bacterial small subunit ribosomal RNA
Source: RNAcentral